Beta vulgaris subsp. vulgaris (sugar beet) is the source of this 393-nucleotide long non-coding RNA. RefSeq lists it as uncharacterized. The transcript is spliced from 3 exons. NCBI's taxonomy places the organism in Eukaryota, Viridiplantae, Streptophyta, Magnoliopsida, Caryophyllales, Amaranthaceae. The record is from RefSeq and is a predicted model, not a curated record.
UUUUUGUAUGAUAAGAAACGCAAAAUCAGAGAAGCUCUUGAAGAGGGGAAGCCAAUUCCAACGGAGUUGAGAAAUGAAGAAGCAUCGCUCCGCAAAGAAAUCGACCUCGAAGAUGAUUACACUGCUAGUAUGUACAUUUUUCAUCUCAGGAUCUGAAAGUGACUGAAAUACUUUGGCUUUCUUUGCCGUUCUCCAUCUCCAACAGAAGAGUGCGACUAUUGACGAUGAAGAUUGAAGAAUGUUUUUUAUUUUUUUGGAUCUAUGUAAAAGUUGUAAUAAAUUGUAAAUUUUAAUGUUUGGAUAUUAAAUUUUAGGGUUUUUUUGUGUGUUAGAUCUAAUUUUUUUGGUUUCAAAUUGUAUAAUAAUAAUGUUCCUUAAUCGUUCUUCUCUUUA